AGUGCAUCAGAAGGGACAGUACACACCAUCUUUCAUUCCCACCAUUCUUUGUGAAGAGGAAUCCAAAUGUUCUUUGGCCUGAUCGAGUUCUUAUGGGUGCCUUGAGCCAUCCUAGGAGGCAUCCCAAGUAACAACAUUAAGAACGUAUAAAUGUUUGAACUGUGCAGACUUCUUGUUGUGAGAAAAAAAGCCUGCAGCCAAUGAGAUAGAAAUGGAGAGAAGGGCAAUAGCAGCUUGCACACGUCAAGGAUCUGCAGCGCAUGAAACCCCUUAAACUGAAGAUGAUGGUGGGUCCCUGAUGCAAUGUAAAUUACGUAUAUGGAAUGUUUUGUAUAUAACCAGUUAUUCAAUCAUCAUCAGUGCUGUACACAGAGUAUUAAGUAUAUAACAUUUCGAUUUCUGUAUCUUUCUUUUUCUGAUUUAUAUGAACCCGAGCCGAUUUCAUUGAAGUAGAAGUUACUUAUAAUUGCAACCUCCUUAAAUGUAUCGUAUAUUAGUUUAAAAACAAAAGUACAGGUCACAGCCUUUUCCCACAUGCCUGAAAAAUGUGUUGUUUACCAAAUGAUAUGCAUUGCGUGAUUCUGGGCCUUGCAAAAGAAUUACCGGUACUACAAAUGAAAUAAUCAUGUUUUUUCUAUGUAUAUAAAUUUCUUCCAAACUUCUUUCUUUUAAAGGAUUGUCAUAGGCACACAAUUUUUUGAAUGAUUUAUGUCCCAUUACUUUUCUCAUGUUUUCAAUGCAACUACAUACUUCAACCCUACAUAAUUUGACUACAUUCAUUGUAAGAAAGAACACUGGAUUAAAAAUUCAAAAUGUAUGAACACUACUUUCUUAAUUUCUUUUUCAUAAAGAACAUGAAGAAUCUGUGGUAGGAAAACAAGUAGUAUUAUAAACUUGUUGUAAUGUUGAUAUGAUAAUUCUGUAUGUCAUUUCAUUGAUGUGUUCAAUCAUUUACUUACAAAAGGAAAAAAUUUUUUAUUCAAAAUGCCUUAUACAUGGCGCCGCUUGUAAACAUGUAUCUUGAACAAAAAUGUGCGAUGCACCUUUUGCAUUGAUAUUGGGUGUGCUCCAAACAAGAACUGAAACAGGAAUGUAGGGCAUAGUUUUAUUUUAUUACAUGGCAUAUGUGUUCAGUACAUAAUCUAGUCAAAAUCUGAUUACAAUUUUUGUAAUACAGUUAACUUCAGAAAGAACAAAUAUUAUGUGCCCAUUUUUCAUGAUGAAUUCUACAAAUGUGCAGAUUAAUGAAAUUUGGACAGUCUCUCAUAUAUAUGCUUAUUUAUAGUAUUUGUUUUUGCUGUCAUGCUUAUACUUUAAAAGCAAUGAAAUUAUGUUUUUUUUAAAAAUCAUUAAUGGGAAAAAACAUAAAUAUACAAGAAGAAUUAAUUUCAAUUAAUUUUCUGAAUCAGUUCCAUUAUCAUCCAUUGCUCCAUUAACCUCAUCCACCUGGUCAACACAAUUCAAACAUACCAGGUAAUGGUAAAUUUAGAAAUGGGCUGAAUUGACCAUUUGAACAUGUUGCGUCAUUUAAUUUGAAUAACAAACGUUACAGCAAUUAAACCCAAAGAAUAAUAUGUUUAUUAACUGGAUAUUUAAUUCCUAACAAGUUUAACAUGUUAAACAACCAUGAGCUUGUGCAAUACAUUAAAUGUUGACUGAACAUUACAAAUCAUAUAAUUUAAUUAUUCAACUAAUGGACUGGUUUAUUGUUUAGUCAUUUAGUCUUAUGCGAUGGUAGUGUGUACGUAGUAUGUGCCUCCGUGCGUCUGUAAACAAUUCCUCUUUAACAUGAUACAGCCUUCAGUUUUGAUUGUAUCUUGAUGAAACUUGUACAGUAUUUACAUAUCCAUAAGAGCUCAGUUCCUUUUGAAAACCAGCCAGAUCCGCCCAUGCAUGCCUAGAUUAUGGGCCUUGAUAGUAUAAAAAAUCAGUGUGUCAGUAAGCAGUUGCUCGUUAACAUGAUACAGCCUUCAGUUUUGAUUGUAUCUCGAUGGAACUUGAACAGUAUCUACAUAUCCAUAAGAGCUUGGUUCCUUUUGAAAACCAGCCAGAUCCGCCCAUGCAUGCCUAGAUUAUGGGCCUUGAUAGUAAAAAAAUCAGUGUGUCAGUAAGCAGUUGUAAGUUUCAAAACAAUCUCUCGAGGGACCAGACUGAUCAAAACGGACAUUGGGAUAUCAAUUUUCAGAAUUUGUACCUUGCUAAAAUCAUAUGUAGCUUGUGUCAAUAACUUGUUGAAUUAAGUUGAUCCAGAAUUAGGUAUAUUGUAAAAUCACACUUUGCUUUCCUAGUUAUUUCGUUUUUCGUACUAGCUUUGCAUUCAUGUGUGUAAUUAUACCUAGGAUUAGAGGGCUGCUCUAAAUCUAAAUAUUUCUUACCAAUGCUUAAUUUUGUUAUCUUUCGAGAGUACUUGAUAUUUUAUUCUGUUUGUCUACUUGUGUACAUAAUAUGCAUGUUUGGUUUACUCGUAUUGUUUGAAUAUUAUUGUGUUAAAUGUAAUUCAUAAUAUGUGUCAUUAUUAGUAUAUAUAUCAAUGUUUUGCUCUUCAUUUCAUGGAGGAAUAAA
This is a long non-coding RNA of Mya arenaria, 2562 nucleotides long. RefSeq lists it as uncharacterized. The record is from RefSeq and is a predicted model, not a curated record. The transcript is spliced from 3 exons. Lineage: Eukaryota; Metazoa; Mollusca; Bivalvia; Myida; Myidae.